This is a small nucleolar RNA of Sciurus carolinensis (gray squirrel), 100 nucleotides long. RefSeq annotates it as small nucleolar RNA U13. The transcript has a single exon. Lineage: Eukaryota; Metazoa; Chordata; Mammalia; Rodentia; Sciuridae. The record is from RefSeq and is a predicted model, not a curated record.
AUCCUUUUCAGUAAGUAUGACAAUUGGGAGUUCAUGCUGUUGUAUGACAUGUGCCUCCCUCUAACCCUUGUUGUGACAUCAGCACAUUACCAGUCUGAUG